Molecule: ribosomal RNA, 253 nt
Filed under: uncultured bacterium
Lineage: Bacteria
Description: partial 16S ribosomal RNA
Rfam family: Bacterial small subunit ribosomal RNA
Source: RNAcentral
UACAGAGGUCUCAAGCGUUGUUCGGAUUCAUUGGGCGUAAAGGGUGCGUAGGCGGCGCGGUAAGUCGGGUGUGAAAUCUUGGAGCUUAACUCCGAAACUGCAUUCGAUACUGCCGUGCUUGAAUCCGGGAGAGGGAUGCGGAAUUCCAGGUGUAGCGGUGAAAUGCGUAGAUAUCUGGAGGAACACCGGUGGCGAAGGCGGCAUCCUGGACCGGCAUUGACGCUGAGGCGCGAAAGCUAGGGGAGCAAACGGG